AUGUAUAAGUGGCUUGACAGACCACUCAGUGGUUGUGAUUUCAAGUGGAUUUGGAAAGCCAAAAUCCCUUUGAAGAUUCAAAUCUUCUUAUGGCAACUCUCGCAUGAUGCAGUUCUCACCAGACAGGUGAUGAAACAACGUCGAUGGCCUAGGAAUCCUGUUUGCUCUUUCUGUCGACAAGUGGAGUCGUCUCAGCACCUAUUCUUCGAGUGCUCUGUCGCUAGGGUCGUGUGGCGUGCUAUUGGGGUCACUUUGGGCACUGACCUUUGUCCUUGCAACUAUUGGCAAUUUUUUACUUGGUGUCAUGCUUUUCUGCCUGGACAUGAAUCUUUCUACACAGUAGCUUUAGGCGCUGUCACUUGGUCUAUCUGGCUGGCCCGGAACAAGGCCACUUUCAAAAAGAAGAUGAUCAAAACUCCCUUUGAGAUUGUGUUUACGGCUGUUCUUUUCUUUUAUAUUGGGCAGGCCUGCAAGCAGGGGAUGACAUGA
Molecule: ribosomal RNA, 489 nt
Filed under: Triticum aestivum (bread wheat)
Lineage: Eukaryota; Viridiplantae; Streptophyta; Magnoliopsida; Poales; Poaceae
Description: partial small subunit ribosomal RNA
Source: RNAcentral